CCGAGUGCAGGUCUGCCCCUGGGCAGGCCUAACCUCCCACCCGUGAAUACCUGACCAACGUUGCUUCGGCGGUGCGCCCCUCCGGGGGCAGCCGCCGGAGACCACACCGAACCUCUUGUUUAAGCCUGUUGUCUGAGCUUGAUAGCAAAUCUAUUA
This 156-nucleotide unclassified non-coding RNA is filed under the name uncultured Aspergillus. RNAcentral's name for it is "sequence contains ITS1". The record is from RNAcentral. Lineage: Eukaryota; Fungi; Ascomycota; Eurotiomycetes; Eurotiales; Aspergillaceae.